ACCCUUUGUGAACAUACCUAUUCUCGUUGCCUCGGCGGUGCCGGGCCUGGCCCCCCCGUAUCUCACGAUAGGGGGAGCAGCCCGCCGGCGGCCUUCUAAACUCUUGUUUCUAAGUGUAUCUUCUGAGUAUAAGCUUCUAAAUAAGUAAAAACUUUCAGCAACGGAUCUCUUGGUUCUGGCAUCGAUGAAGAACGCAGCGAAAUGCGAUAAGUAAUGUGAAUUGCAGAAUUCAGUGAAUCAUCGAAUCUUUGAACGCACAUUGCGCCCGGUAGUAUUCUACCGGGCAUGCCUGUUCGAGCGUCAUUUCAACCCUCAAGCACUGCUUGGUGUUGGGGCGCCACCUCACGGUGGGCCCCCAAAUUGAUAGGCGAGCUCGCCAGGACCCCGAGCGUAGUAGUAUUCUCCUCGCUUUGGGCGUGCUGGCGGCGCGCAGCCUCUAAGCCUUCUGGCUGCCCUCACCGGCGCCGGAAAACUCACACAAGGUUGACCUCGGAUCAGGUAGGAAUACGCGCUGAACUUAAGCAUAU
Molecule: ribosomal RNA, 527 nt
Filed under: Sydowiella sp. BPV163c
Lineage: Eukaryota; Fungi; Ascomycota; Sordariomycetes; Diaporthales; Sydowiellaceae
Description: eukaryotic LSU rRNA
Rfam family: 5.8S ribosomal RNA (bases 150-303)
Source: RNAcentral